UGUGUAUCUCAUGGAGCUGAACAUUUUGAGUGGUGAAAGGUGAAGGUCAAGGUCAUCCUUCAAGGUCAAAUGUCAAAUAUAUGGCAUCUGUCCGUCCGAAAACUUUAACAUUGGCCAUAACUUUUUCAAUAUUGAAGAUAGCAACUUGAUAUUUGGCAUGCAUGUGUAUCUCAUGAAGCUGCACAUUUUGAGUGGUGGAAGUUCAAGGUCAAGGUCAUCCUUCAAGGUGAAAGGU
Long non-coding RNA from Dreissena polymorpha, 235 nucleotides. RefSeq lists it as uncharacterized. The record is from RefSeq and is a predicted model, not a curated record. The transcript has 2 exons. NCBI's taxonomy places the organism in Eukaryota, Metazoa, Mollusca, Bivalvia, Myida, Dreissenidae.